UGGAUUUUCGAAUUCAUAGUG
This 21-nucleotide non-coding RNA is filed under the name Caenorhabditis elegans. Lineage: Eukaryota; Metazoa; Nematoda; Chromadorea; Rhabditida; Rhabditidae. The record is from RNAcentral.